AUACCCCGUAAUAUUUAGAAUUGGCAUCAAUUUUAAAUUAAAGCUCCGGCGGUUUGAGAUGGGCAUGCGUGACAUUAGCUAGUUGGUAAGGUAACGGCUUACCAAGGCUACGAUGUCUAGGGGUUCUGAGAGGAUGAUCCCCCACACUGGUACUGAGACACGGACCAGACUCCUACGGGAGGCAGCAGUGAGGAAUAUUGGUCAAUGGGCGCAAGCCUGAACCAGCCAUCCCGCGUGUAGGAAGACUGCCCUAUGGGUUGCAAACUACUUUUAUAAAGGAAGAAACCCUUCUACGUGUAGAAGGCUGACUGUACUUAAGAAUAAGCACCGCUAACU
This 336-nucleotide ribosomal RNA is filed under the name uncultured bacterium. Its description in RNAcentral is "bacterial SSU rRNA". It matches the Rfam family "Bacterial small subunit ribosomal RNA", at positions 166 to 502 of the family's 1533-position model. The record is from RNAcentral.